AGCGUAGACGGAUGGACAAGUCUGAUGUGAAAGGCUGGGGCUCAACCCCCGGGACUGCAUUGGAAACUGCCCGUCUUGAGUGCCGGAGAGGUAAGCGGAAUUCCUAGUGUAGCGGUGAAAUGCGUAGAUAUUAGGAGGAACACCAGUGGCGAAGGCGGCUUACUGGACGGUAACUGACGUUGAGGCUCGAAAGCGUGGGGAGGCAAAACA
RNAcentral lists this ribosomal RNA (210 nucleotides) under uncultured bacterium. RNAcentral's name for it is "partial 16S ribosomal RNA". It matches the Rfam family "Bacterial small subunit ribosomal RNA", at positions 568 to 776 of the family's 1533-position model. The record is from RNAcentral.